UAGAUGAAGCAUGUCUUCAUGUGGGCUGGGCAAAAUUCAUCCAAUGACAGAUUUUUAAAGCCCUGAUGAUAAGACAUGUAAGGGUUUCUGCAUUUCACCAAGAUCACUGCAGACGGAGAAACUUCAGGGAGCGAUUUCCUAACAACUCUCAGUCGGCCAACAGGAACCAGAGGUGUUAUGGAUCAGGAAAGCCACCUGUCCUCAGAGGAAGAAGCUGGAGAACCUUCAGUCGUCAUCGGUCUGGUUCUGCUACGGCUCCAGCAUGCAGUCGUCCUGUGGUUCUCCAGGGCAAGACGCAGACUCCUGCAGGGGUUCACUGUGUUCUCCACGGUGCUUCUGCUCCUCUGGAUCGCAACUUUUCUAUACGGGACCUUCUACUACUCCUACAUGCCCAAAGCGGCUUUUUCUGCACCGGUAUACUACUACUACAG
Molecule: long non-coding RNA, 431 nt
Organism: Xiphophorus couchianus (Monterrey platyfish)
Lineage: Eukaryota; Metazoa; Chordata; Actinopteri; Cyprinodontiformes; Poeciliidae
Exons: 2
Source: RefSeq, a predicted model, not a curated record